Molecule: long non-coding RNA, 787 nt
Organism: Cottoperca gobio
Lineage: Eukaryota; Metazoa; Chordata; Actinopteri; Perciformes; Bovichtidae
Exons: 5
Source: RefSeq, a predicted model, not a curated record
AUCUCAGACGAUCUCCAGGUGAAAGCGAAAGUACAGCACGUAGCUUCGAGGGUCACGGAUUUGGAUAUAAGUUUGUCAACUAGGCCCCUUUUGUUUCGUUUUUAAUCAUGAAGUUCUUCUUCGUUUUAAGCGUCUUUAUACUGUGUACAGGGAAGCCUGUGCAUUCUGUAGGCUGUCCAGUCGAGAUGAGCCCUCCAAGUGUUCUGGUGAGAUUUGGCGACCCCUUCUCUGUCAACUGCAGCUCACCAUCCGACCAGAGACAGUCCUUGGGCUGGGAGGCUAUGGUCGGUACAGUGUAUGGAAACACUACCCGUCACCGUUUACAAAAUGCCGGACAGUAUUUCCAUCUCUCAGCCAAGUCAAAUGGGCCCCAUGGUAGAGGGCGAAAAGUAUCGCAUGCAGUGUGACAUUGUUAAUGUUGCACCCCUAAGAAACCUGUCUGUGCACUGGCACAGAGGAGAUAAGAUCAUCUAUACGCAGACAUUUGACGAGUCCAGUGAAUCUCCAGUCAACACGUCCUCUGUCUUCGAUCUGACCGCCCAAAUAGGCGAUAAUGGAACUGAGAUGUGGUGUGAAGCACAGCUGGACUUUUCACCACCUGUACCAAAUCUAUCAAUCCUAUCAGACUCACUUAAAGUGAUUGUACUGUACUCGCCAACCUUCACCAAGCCCGGAAAUGAGACGCUGGAAAUCUCAGCUGGUAAUGAAACCAUUUUAGAUUGCACUGCUACAGGAAACCCGACGCCAGUGUACAGCUGGAAUUUCCCACAUCUUAUCCAAAAGGUGA